This 459-nucleotide ribosomal RNA is filed under the name uncultured bacterium. Its description in RNAcentral is "partial 16S ribosomal RNA". It matches the Rfam family "Bacterial small subunit ribosomal RNA", at positions 338 to 795 of the family's 1533-position model. The record is from RNAcentral.
CCUACGGGUGUCAGCAGUGAGGAAUAUUGGUCAAUGGCCGGAAGGCUGAACCAGCCAAGCCGCGUGAAGGACGAAGGUGCCAAGCAUUGUAAACUUCUUUUGUCAAGGGACAAAAUCAGGCUCGAGAGCCUGACCGAGGGUACUUGCAGAAAAAGCAUCGGCUAACUCCGUGCCAGCAGCCGCGGUAAUACGGAGGAUGCGAGCGUUAUCCGGUUUUAUUGGGUUUAAAGGGUGCGUAGGCGGACGGUUAAGUCCACGGUAAAAGCCCGGGGCUCACCCCCGGAGAGCCGUUGAAACUGUGCAGCUAGAGUGCAGGAGAGGUAAGUGGAAUUCCUAGUGUCGCGGUGAAAUGCGUAGAUAUUAGGAGGAACACCAGUGGCGAAGGCGGCUUACUGGACUGUAACUGACGUUGAGGCUCGAAAGCGUGGGGAGCAAACAGGAUUAGAUACCCGUGUAGUC